UCAGAUUGAACGCUGGCGGCAGGCCUAACACAUGCAAGUCGAGCGGUAGCACAGAGAGCUUGCUCUCGGGUGACGAGCGGCGGACGGGUGAGUAAUGUCUGGGAAACUGCCUGAUGGAGGGGGAUAACUACUGGAAACGGUAGCUAAUACCGCAUAAUGUCGCAAGACCAAAGUGGGGGACCUUCGGGCCUCAUGCCAUCAGAUGUGCCCAGAUGGGAUUAGCUAGUAGGUGGGGUAACGGCUCACCUAGGCGACGAUCCCUAGCUGGUCUGAGAGGAUGACCAGCCACACUGGAACUGAGACACGGUCCAGACUCCUACGGGAGGCAGCAGUGGGGAAUAUUGCACAAUGGGCGCAAGCCUGAUGCAGCCAUGCCGCGUGUGUGAAGAAGGCCUUCGGGUUGUAAAGCACUUUCAGCGGGGAGGAAGGCGGUAAGGUUAAUAACCUCAUCGAUUGACGUUACCCGCAGAAGAAGCACCGGCUAACUCCGUGCCAGCAGCCGCGGUAAUACGGAGGGUGCAAGCGUUAAUCGGAAUUACUGGGCGUAAAGCGCACGCAGGCGGUCUGUCAAGUCGGAUGUGAAAUCCCCGGGCUCAACCUGGGAACUGCAUUCGAAACUGGCAGGCUAGAGUCUUGUAGAGGGGGGUAGAAUUCCAGGUGUAGCGGUGAAAUGCGUAGAGAUCUGGAGGAAUACCGGUGGCGAAGGCGGCCCCCUGGACAAAGACUGACGCUCAGGUGCGAAAGCGUGGGGAGCAAACAGGAUUAGAUACCCUGGUAGUCCACGCCGUAAACGAUGUCGAUUUGGAGGUUGUGCCCUUGAGGCGUGGCUUCCGGAGCUAACGCGUUAAAUCGACCGCCUGGGGAGUACGGCCGCAAGGUUAAAACUCAAAUGAAUUGACGGGGGCCCGCACAAGCGGUGGAGCAUGUGGUUUAAUUCGAUGCAACGCGAAGAACCUUACCUGGUCUUGACAUCCACAGAACUUUCCAGAGAUGGAUUGGUGCCUUCGGGAACUGUGAGACAGGUGCUGCAUGGCUGUCGUCAGCUCGUGUUGUGAAAUGUUGGGUUAAGUCCCGCAACGAGCGCAACCCUUAUCCUUUGUUGCCAGCGGUCCGGCCGGGAACUCAAAGGAGACUGCCAGUGAUAAACUGGAGGAAGGUGGGGAUGACGUCAAGUCAUCAUGGCCCUUACGACCAGGGCUACACACGUGCUACAAUGGCAUAUACAAAGAGAAGCGACCUCGCGAGAGCAAGCGGACCUCAUAAAGUAUGUCGUAGUCCGGAUUGGAGUCUGCAACUCGACUCCAUGAAGUCGGAAUCGCUAGUAAUCGUAGAUCAGAAUGCUACGGUGAAUACGUUCCCGGGCCUUGUACACACCGCCCGUCACACCAUGGGAGUGGGUUGCAAAAGAAGUAGGUAGCUUAACCUUCGGGAGGGCGCUUACCACUUUGUGAUUCAUGACUGGGGUGA
Molecule: ribosomal RNA, 1467 nt
Filed under: Klebsiella sp. ok1_1_9_S49
Lineage: Bacteria; Pseudomonadati; Pseudomonadota; Gammaproteobacteria; Enterobacterales; Enterobacteriaceae
Description: bacterial SSU rRNA
Rfam family: Bacterial small subunit ribosomal RNA
Source: RNAcentral